This 73-nucleotide transfer RNA is filed under the name Felis catus (domestic cat). It matches the Rfam family "tRNA". From Rfam's summary of the family: Transfer RNA (tRNA) molecules are approximately 80 nucleotides in length. Their secondary structure includes four short double-helical elements and three loops (D, anti-codon, and T loops). Further hydrogen bonds mediate the characteristic L-shaped molecular structure. tRNAs have two regions of fundamental functional importance: the anti-codon, which is responsible for specific mRNA codon recognition, and the 3' end, to which the tRNAs corresponding amino acid is attached (by aminoacyl-tRNA synthetases). tRNAs cope with the degeneracy of the genetic code in two manners: having more than one tRNA (with a specific anti-codon) for a particular amino acid; and 'wobble' base-pairing, i.e. permitting non-standard base-pairing at the 3rd anti-codon position. The record is from Rfam by way of RNAcentral. Lineage: Eukaryota; Metazoa; Chordata; Mammalia; Carnivora; Felidae. RNAcentral also lists the same sequence under 4 other names.
GCCCGGCUGGCUCAGUUGGUAGAGCAUGUGACUCUUGAUCUCAGGGUGGGAAGUUCAAGCCCCGUGUCGGGUG